AACGUAGGAGACAAACGUUAUCCGGAGUUACUGGGCGUAAAGGGCGUGUAGGUGGUUUUGUAAGUCUGGCGUGAAAUUUUUCGGCUUAACCGGGAAAGGUCGUCGGAUACUGCAGGACUGGAGGACGGUAGAGGCGAGUGGAAUUCCUGGUGUAGCGGUGAAAUGCGCAGAUAUCAGGAGGAACACCAAUUGCGAAGGCAGCUCGCUGGGACGUUACUGACGCUGAGACGCGAAAGCGUGGGGAGCAAACAGG
RNAcentral lists this ribosomal RNA (253 nucleotides) under uncultured bacterium. Its description in RNAcentral is "partial 16S ribosomal RNA". It matches the Rfam family "Bacterial small subunit ribosomal RNA", at positions 524 to 776 of the family's 1533-position model. The record is from RNAcentral.